AAUUGCGAAAAGUAAUGUGACGUGCACCCUUUGAGAAGCAUUUUACUCUUUGAACGCACCUUGCGCGCAUCCUUCUGGGAUGCGAGGUCCUGUUUGAGCGUGUUUAUUAACUCAUAGCUGAUUCUCUGCUUACGGCUCGACUUGUCGAGCCACCAGCAAAACUUGUCGAGCCGCCAGCAAAGAAUUGAAAGACAUGCAGGACGCCCGAACGACUCUAGGGCGCCACGAGGAGCAGCGCGACAAGCACCACUGCGAAUCGGGGCACUGCGGGUUUGCACGAUGCGCGAGCACGGACAAACACACGCCAAAAUCCAACACCUCAAAUCAGGAUAGAGGACCCGCUGAACUUAAGCAUAUCAGUAAGCGGAGGAAAAGAAACUAACGAGGAUUCCCUCAGUAACGGCGAGUGAAGCGGGAACAGCCCAUGACGAACCAGUCGCCGCAGUGGCGAACGGAAUGUGUCGUGGAGCGGGGCACGGUGCUCAGCAGACGCAGCAGGUCCCCUGGAAAGGGGCGGCAGAGAGGGUGAUACCCCCGUGGCAGCGUCGGCGACAGCACAGCGUGGCCCGCAGCGAGUCGGAUUGUUUGGGAAUGCAAUCCCAAGUAGGUGGUACGCGCCAUCUAAGGCUAAAUAGCGGCAAGAGACCGAUAGCAAACAAGUACCGUGAGGGAAAGAUGAAAAGGACUCUGAAGAGAGAGUCAAAAGUGCGUGAAAUUGCGUGGAGGGAAACGAAGGCGACCUUUGUUGGAACGGCGGCGUUUGGGGGCGCAAGAAGCGGCGUGGGAGGUGCCCAGUGGCGACACUAGGACAUAGAGCCAGGCCGGAUUGCGCGCACAGACACCCGUCGGAGAGGGCGUCUUUGACCCGG
RNAcentral lists this ribosomal RNA (869 nucleotides) under uncultured fungus. RNAcentral's name for it is "eukaryotic LSU rRNA". The stretch from base 315 to 869 matches the Rfam family "Eukaryotic large subunit ribosomal RNA", at positions 1 to 652 of the family's 3401-position model. Lineage: Eukaryota; Fungi. The record is from RNAcentral.